AGAGUUUGAUCCUGGCUCAGAACGAACGCUGGCGGUAUGCCUAACACAUGCAAGUCGAACGGUAAGGCUCUUUUCGGAGAGUACACGAGUGGCGCACGGGUGAGUAACGCGUGAAUAAUCUGCCUGGAGCACAGGGAUAACUACUGGAAACGGUAGCUAAUACCUGAUAAUAUUCUUAGUAGUGAUACUUUGAAUCAAAGGGGUAACCCGGCAUCAGAUGAGUUCGCGUGCCAUUAGCUAGUUGGUGGGGUAAGAGCCCACCAAGGCGAAGAUGGCUAGCUGGUUUGAGAGGAUGAUCAGCCACACUGGAACUGAGACACGGUCCAGACUCCUACGGGAGGCAGCAGUGAGGAAUAUUGCGCAAUGGGGGGAACCCUGACGCAGCAAUACCGCGUGAGUGAAGAAGGCCCUCUGGGUUGUAAAGCUCUGUGGAGUGGGAAGAUAAUGACGGUACCACUCUAGAAAGCACCGGCUAACUACGUGCCAGCAGCCGCGGUAAUACGUAGGGUGCAAGCGUUGUUCGGAAUUACUGGGCGUAAAGCGGAUGUAGGCGGAACAUUAAGUCAGAUGUGAAAGCCCGGAGCUCAACUCCGGACGUGCAUUUGAAACUGGUGAUCUUGAAUAUGUUAUGGGAGCGUGGAAUUUCUAGUGUAGCGGUGAAAUGCGUAGAUAUUAGAAGGAACACUCGUGGCGAAGGCGACGCUCUAGGGCAAUAUUGACGCUGAGAUCCGAAAGCGUGGGUAGCAAACAGGAUUAGAUACCCUGGUAGUCCAUGCCGUAAACGAUGAGUGCUACUUGUUGGUUCUGUUGACGGAAUCAGUGGGGCAGCUAACGCAAUAAGCACUCCGCCUGGGGAGUACGGUCGCAAGAUUAAAACUCAAAGGAAUUGACGGGGGCCCGCACAAGCGGUGGAGCAUGUGGUUUAAUUCGAUGCAACGCGAAAAACCUUACCUGGACUUGACAUCCCACUGAAAGCCUCUAGAGACAGAGGCCCUCUUCGGACAGUGGUGACAGGUGCUGCAUGGUUGUCGUCAGCUCGUGCCGUGAGGUGUUGGGUUAAGUCCCGCAACGAGCGCAACCCUUGUCCAUAGUUGCCAUCAUUUAGUUGGGGACUCUAUGGAGACUGCCGGUGUUAAACCGGAGGAAGGCAAGGACGACGUCAAAUCAUCACGGCCCUUAUGUCCAGGGCUACACACGUGCUACAAUGGUGGGGACAAAGAGCAGCGAAGCAGCGAUGUGGAACAAAUCUCACAAACCCUA
This 1260-nucleotide ribosomal RNA is filed under the name metagenome. RNAcentral's name for it is "bacterial SSU rRNA". It matches the Rfam family "Bacterial small subunit ribosomal RNA", at positions 8 to 1285 of the family's 1533-position model. The record is from RNAcentral.